AACGAACGCUGGCGGCAUGCCUAACACAUGCAAGUCGAACGAGCCCUUCGGGUCUAGUGGCGCACGGGUGCGUAACGCGUGGGAACCUGCCCUUAGGUUCGGAAUAACUCCCCGAAAGGGGUGCUAAUACCGGAUAAUGUCUUCGGACCAAAGAUUUAUCGCCUUUGGAUGGGCCCGCGUUGGAUUAGCUAGUUGGUAGGGUAAAAGCCUACCAAGGCGACGAUCCAUAGCUGAUCUGAGAGGAUGAUCAGCCACACUGGGACUGAGACACGGCCCAGACCCCUACGGGAGGCAGCAGUGGGGAAUAUUGGACAAUGGGCGAAGGCCUGAGCCAGCAAUGCCGCGUGAGUGAUGAAGGCCUUAGGGUUGUAAAGCUCUUUUACCCGGGAUGAUAAUGACAGUACCGGGAGAAUAAGCACCGGCUAACUCCGUG
This 433-nucleotide ribosomal RNA is filed under the name uncultured bacterium. RNAcentral describes it as "partial 16S ribosomal RNA". It matches the Rfam family "Bacterial small subunit ribosomal RNA", at positions 29 to 507 of the family's 1533-position model. The record is from RNAcentral.